This 101-nucleotide non-coding RNA is filed under the name Odontella aurita. Lineage: Eukaryota; Bacillariophyta; Thalassiosirophyceae; Eupodiscales; Odontellaceae. The record is from RNAcentral.
CUAAAUGGAUACUUUUUUUUUCUGUUUCAAGCCUGAUACGGAAAGAAAAAGAGAAGAAAAGAAAAAGCUAAUAAUACGUGUACACUUAUUUGAAAUUUUUU